AAAAAAUAAAAUAAAAAAUUUACUAGUCUUAAAAAUUUUGAAAUCUAACGAAGACUCAACCCGACAAUCGCUUCGAUCUUUGUUCUUCCCAAAAGCUUCGAUCAAUGGGCUCUCUCUAUCCUCUCAUUCUCAAAAUGGAACUGCUAGAAAAUAGAGAAGAAGGUGACCAAGAGGAGCCUGUUGAAGAUGAUGCUGAUUCUACAAAUCGAGUUGUACGAUUAAUGAAGACACUCCAUCAGACUAGAGGCAAUGGUUUGGACUGAGUGAAAUCAAAAUUUUAUUCUGGUGAUUUGUCAAUUGGCUCUAAAUUGCCUCUUUUACUUUCUUUUCUGCAUUAUACGAACAAGUAUUUAUUAUAGUAAUAGUAACUACGAUUCAUAGAUGAUAUAUAUAGUUAUUACUAAAAGCAGUGAAAUCAAGCAUUGAUGGGCUAGGCUCAUCUCUACUGUCAUGAGUUGCCACUGUUCUGUUAUAAUCACUUCUGACUUAUGGGCUUGCCAUCUUGUGGCAUUAGCUAAUUGACACUUGACAUCAUACAUGCAAUUUGUAAACUGACAUUGGAUGCAAUAGUAAUAAAUUAUACAAAUUUAUUUAAUUUAAUUGAGCAUAUAAAGAGGAAUGACAAAUCCUACCCGGUUGAGACACAAGGCUUAGUUUGAUUUGGUUUGGUAUCUGCAGUUUGUGGGUGGCAAUUGUGGCAAGACUAAUAUGCAUUUUAUACACUUUAUUAGUAGGAUUACAUGUUACUUGUGACUGUUUUUACUUGAGUUCUGUGGUAAGGGAUUUCAAUGCUGUCUUAUAAGACUAACCACAUGAUAAAUAUAUGCUAAUCUCUUGAAGCUUUAUAGUAGCUGUUGCCCAGACCAAGUAACUUCUUGUUAAUUCUUGACAAUUCUAAAUACUAAUUUGGAAACCAGUAGUGUGCUUAAUUUGAUGAAAUCAUAUCAAUUUUAGCAAGUCUACAGGUUUGUUUGUUAACAUUUCAUUUCUGUAUUCUGUUUUUAAAAAUUUUAAAAAUUGAAAACGAAAACACCUUUGAUAAUUGUUUUUACUUUCAAAAAGUGACAACAAUUUUUAAAAUUUUAGGAAAUAAAAAAUAUUCAUUAACUGCUUUCAAUGUUCUAGGUAUUGCAUUAUUUACAAUCUGACAUCUUAUUAUAUGAGGAGUCAACAAUGCCUACAUGUAUGACUUAUUGGUUUUUGGCUGAGAUGGCAGUCCUUGUGCCACAUCACUAGGUCCCAUCAAGACAGCAGAUUCCAGCUGCCAUGCACCAUCAUCCUCAAGUUUAUGAUAUUGUUCUCCACCUUACAUCAGAUUGUUUCAGGGAGGCCAUGAUAUUGGCAACCAAAUGGGACCGGUUUGUCUUCCAUAGCCAGUGAUUUUGUAGCUUAAGGAAUCAUAUACACAUGGUUUAUGGAGACUUAGCUGCCAUUUUCUGAUCCUUGCAUACUGAUGAUUUGGUUGUGAGGUUCGCUGAGUCGCUGUGCCAAGAUGGACCAAAAUUGCAAAGAAAAUGAAAAGUUGAGCUUUGAGGUUCAAUGUAACUAACCAUGUGAAGAGAGUAUACAAUUCCAUCCUAAGGGUUCAUUUGAGAAUUGAUUUUUUUAAAUGAUUUUUUAAUUUUUAUGAAAAAAAUGUGUAAAAAAAAAGAGAGAAUGAAUUUACUUUUUGUAUUAACUUUUUAGCUAAAGUAUCUCUUCCCAGUAGAUUAAAACUAAUCUGUGAAUUCUACUGUACCAUCUAGAGUUGUGUUUAGAUUUGAAACUAUUUGUAGUCAUUGAAUUCGAGCUAUAUUUUAUCUUUAUUUUUUCUAAUUUAGACA
Molecule: long non-coding RNA, 1823 nt
Organism: Camellia sinensis
Lineage: Eukaryota; Viridiplantae; Streptophyta; Magnoliopsida; Ericales; Theaceae
Source: RefSeq, a predicted model, not a curated record